AAGACAAAGAUGACAAUAAUUCAGUAGGAAAACUUCAACUGGAGCUGUUCCUACCGGCCGCCACUACUUAUUAACUGCCUGGCUGAAAGUACACGGUUACUUCACCUCACCUCACCACACUCACCUCAGUCAGCCUGCCAGCACCUCACUCGUGUCCUCGCCUUCACGUUGCCACUAAAGUCACUUCCCACACGCAGCACAGACCAGUACUUUCCCUGCUACACCCUCGCUCUUCCUGACACUCUCUGCACCCUCCACUCCCCUUCCUGUACCCUCCCUCCACCAGCGCUCCCUCCCUCCACCAGUUUUCUAGUUCCGUGUUAUAUUUCAGUGAAUAAACGAGUGACAUCAGUUGUAAAUAUUUCACCCACACUUACCAAACAAAUAAAAGAUUGAGACCUCCACUGAAAUGUUCAUGAUUACACAGAGAUUACCCAACUUUGCGUGACAGGCAGGCGUGACGUGUCCAAGGGAGGGGAGGAGUGAAGGGAGGGUCAGCGGAGGAAUACAGGGAGGGAGAGGAACGAAGGAGAAGCAGUUAGAGGAGAUCCACUCACAGGAUUCUGCGUUGUUGAUUUGUGUGUGGAAGUAUCGUGGGUUUUGCCUGCCUCCAUUGUUGCUCGUCUGCUGAAAUAAGUUCCAAUCUUUGCCACGGUGCCUGUCUCUCUGUGCUCAGGUUUAUUGGAGCUCUCAGGUUGUACCCCAGCAGGCCCCUCUUCAGGUCCAGCGGGUUCUCUGGCUCCUCCUUGGCCAAUCAGCACCGAGGCAAAGUUGAUUGAUAUACAGGUGUGAAUUCAGCUGCCUCCUCGCUGUUCCCGUUGCCAGGAUACCAUGUGAUCGAGGCAGUGUUGGGGAAGGUGAAAUUAUUCAUCAGUGCUGCUUCACUCCAUCCCAUGAAGUUGCCCGCAGGAAUUUCUACCACAUCAGGCCUGACAUACUUCAUUGUGAUCAGGGAGUUGAGUUUCAUCAGGAAGAGAGGCUGAGUGUCACGAACUGUAAGCCUGACGAGGUGUUUAAUCAGCAAGAGGGGCCGAGUCUUGCUACCUGUGUAAGCCUGACAAGAGGAGUCAAGGAGUUUUUCAUUGCAAUGAAGGAAGAGUCAAGUUGUAAGAAGAUUGUAAGGCAAGAAUUUUAAGCAGGAAUAAUUGUCAAGCAGUUAACAGCAGGAAGAAUGCAGCGAGAAAAGGGUACAAGAGUUUUCAAGUUGUAAGAAGAUUGUAAGGCAAGAAUUUUAAGCAGGAAAAUGUAAGGUAAGAAUUUUAAGCAGGAAUAAUUGUCAAGCAGUUAACAGCAGGAAGAAUGCAGCGAGAAAAGGGUACAAGAGUUUUCAAGUUGUAAGAAGAUUGUAAGGCAAAAUUCUUUAAGCAGGAAAAAUAGUCAAGCAGUUUAGCAGCAGGAAGACUCCCUUCAAGCUGUGGUGGGAGUGACAAGCAUCCUUCAAGACUUGCAAAGGCUGGAGUCCUCAACACUAGUCUCACUCAAGUUGACACAAGAGCUCUCUGACACAAGGAAAACAAAUGACAUGUUUAUCAUCCUAUUGUGUAUUUAUUAAACUUUUAUGUGAUUAAACAAUAGUGAUUAAACAAUAUAUUGUACAUACUUAAGGAAUUAUUAGUAUAAGUUGCAAAUAAACAAGCU
Long non-coding RNA from Scylla paramamosain (green mud crab), 1638 nucleotides. RefSeq lists it as uncharacterized. The record is from RefSeq and is a predicted model, not a curated record. Lineage: Eukaryota; Metazoa; Arthropoda; Malacostraca; Decapoda; Portunidae. The transcript is spliced from 5 exons.